AAAGCUUAAGCCAUGCAAGUCUCAGUACGAGCUUACUUAAAGUGAAACCGCAAAAGGCUCAGUAAACCGGUCAUAGUUUACCGGAUAUAUGCCACUGACGUGGAUAACUGUGGUAAUUCUAGAGCUAAUACAUGCAAAAAAGUCCCGACCAGAGAUGGAGAGGACGCUUUUAUUGGAACAAAACCAUUCGCCCGGCUCGCCCGGGCGUUUGCCUGAUGAAUCUAUGUAACACCACAGAUCGCACGGUCAUUGUACCGGCGACAUAUCCUUCAAAUGUCUGACUUAUCAGCUGUCGAUGGUAGACUCUUUGUCUACCAUGGCGCUCACGGGUGACGGGGAAUCAGGGUUCGAUUCCGGAGAGGGAGCCUGAGAAACGGCUACCACAUCCAAGGAAGGCAGCAGGCACGCAAAUUACCCACUCCCGGCACGGGGAGGUAGUGACAAAAAAUAACGAUACGGGACUCAUCCGAGGCCCCGUAAUCGGAAUGAGAACACCCUAAAUCCUUUAACGAGGAUCUAUUGGAGGGCAAGUCUGGUGCCAGCAGCCGCGGUAAUUCCAGCUCCAAUAGCGUAUAUUAAAGUUGUUGCGGUUAAAAAGCUCGUAGUUGGUUCUGCGUGCCACGCUGUCGGUUCACCGCCUGCCGGUGCAACUGGCAUGCCGUGGCAUGUCCUGUCGGUGGCGGAUAGGCUUCUCGGAGUGCCCCAUGCGGCUUCGGUCAUGUGGGUUGUCGCUCCGCGUUGUCCUUGUAAGCCGGCUCAAUCCUACCGCGGUGCUCUUUACCGAGUGUCGAGGUAGGCCGACAAUGUUUACUUUGAACAAAUUAGAGUGCUUAAAGCAGGCUCUUGAAUCAGCCUGAAUAGUGGUGCAUGGAAUAAUGGAACAGGACCUUGGUUCUAUUUUGUUGGUUUUAAGAAUCCAAGGUAAUGAUCAAUAAGGACAGGCGGGGGCAUUCGUAUUGCGACGUUAGAGGUGAAAUU
Molecule: ribosomal RNA, 978 nt
Filed under: Stenomacra tungurahuana
Lineage: Eukaryota; Metazoa; Arthropoda; Insecta; Hemiptera; Largidae
Description: SSU rRNA
Rfam family: Eukaryotic small subunit ribosomal RNA
Source: RNAcentral